GAUGAACGCUGACGGCGUGCCUAAUACAUGCAAGUCGAGCGAACAGACGAGGAGCUUGCUCCUCUGACGUUAGCGGCGGACGGGUGAGUAACACGUGGAUAACCUACCUAUAAGACUGGGAUAACUUCGGGAAACCGGAGCUAAUACCGGAUAAUAUAUUGAACCGCAUGGUUCAAUAGUGAAAGACGGUUUUGCUGUCACUUAUAGAUGGAUCCGCGCCGCAUUAGCUAGUUGGUAAGGUAACGGCUUACCAAGGCAACGAUGCGUAGCCGACCUGAGAGGGUGAUCGGCCACACUGGAACUGAGACACGGUCCAGACUCCUACGGGAGGCAGCAGUAGGGAAUCUUCCGCAAUGGGCGAAAGCCUGACGGAGCAACGCCGCGUGAGUGAUGAAGGUCUUCGGAUCGUAAAACUCUGUUAUUAGGGAAGAACAAAUGUGUAAGUAACUAUGCACGUCUUGACGGUACCUAAUCAGAAAGCCACGGCUAACUACG
Molecule: ribosomal RNA, 495 nt
Filed under: uncultured bacterium
Lineage: Bacteria
Description: partial 16S ribosomal RNA
Rfam family: Bacterial small subunit ribosomal RNA
Source: RNAcentral